Molecule: long non-coding RNA, 363 nt
Filed under: Strongylocentrotus purpuratus (purple sea urchin)
Lineage: Eukaryota; Metazoa; Echinodermata; Echinoidea; Camarodonta; Strongylocentrotidae
Description: uncharacterized LOC115925388
Source: RNAcentral
UGAUACAGUGAGAAUUACUUUUCUGAAAAAUAGAUGUGCUCUCUUCAUAACAAAUAUAUGUAUCUCUGUUUUAAAUCCUAGGUUGCAAAAUAAAGAGCUAUGGCAUCUGCAUGUACUGCUAGUUCAUGACAAAUGAACAUUUAUUGUCCAUCUCUUCAAAUUGAAAAGACUGCAGAGCCUGAAUUACCUGCAACGUUAUGCUUCUCAUGAAACAUCAGCCAGCCUACAGAUAGAAGCUCCCUUUUCCAGCUUUAAGCAAGAGGAACCACAAUGAGAUACAGAUCUUGGUAUCAUGGACUGGUCACUUUUUACAACCAACACUACUUGUAAAAUAAGAUUUACAAAUUAAUUCCUAUAAGCUAU